AUGUUAUCAAGAAAGGUUGAGGGAUUAGACCCUAUGAAACCUUAGCAACCCUUUGUGCAAGCGAAGAAGGUGCUACGUUCUACCAAAUAAUUUAUUUUGGACAGAUAACUU
This is a regulatory RNA element of Chryseobacterium piperi, 111 nucleotides long. It matches the Rfam family "SAM riboswitch aptamer (S box leader)". From Rfam's summary of the family: The SAM riboswitch is found upstream of a number of genes which code for proteins involved in methionine or cysteine biosynthesis in Gram-positive bacteria. The SAM riboswitch acts at the level of transcription termination control. NCBI's taxonomy places the organism in Bacteria, Pseudomonadati, Bacteroidota, Flavobacteriia, Flavobacteriales, Weeksellaceae. The record is from Rfam.